RNAcentral lists this ribosomal RNA (510 nucleotides) under uncultured bacterium. RNAcentral's name for it is "partial 16S ribosomal RNA". It matches the Rfam family "Bacterial small subunit ribosomal RNA", at positions 28 to 507 of the family's 1533-position model. The record is from RNAcentral.
GACGAACGCUGGCGGCGUGCUUAACACAUGCAAGUCGAACGAAGAGCGAUGGAAGCUUGCUUCUAUCAAUCUUAGUGGCGAACGGGUGAGUAACGCGUAAUCAACCUGCCCUUCAGAGGGGGACAACAGUUGGAAACGACUGCUAAUACCGCAUACGAUCUAAACUCGGCAUCGAGGAUAGAUGAACGGUGGCCUCUACAUGUAAGCUAUCACUGCAGGAGGGGAUUGCGUCUGAUUAGCUAGUUGGCGGGGUAACGGCCCACCAAGGCGAUGAACAGUAGCCGGACUGAGAGGAGGAACGGCCACACUGGGACUGGAACACGGCCCAGAACACUACGGGAGGGAGCAGGGGGGAACCUUCCGCAAUGGACGGAAGUCUGACGGAGCAACGCCGCGUGAGGGAUGACGGCCUUCGGGUUGUAAAGGUCUGUUAAUCGGGACGAAAGGCCUUCUUGCGAAUAGUGAGAAGGAUUGACGGUACCGGAAUAGAAAGCCACGGCUAACUACGUG